GAUGAACGCUGGCGGCGUGCCUAAUACAUGCAAGUCGAGCGAACAGACGAGGAGCUCGCUCCUCUGAUGUUAGCGGCGGACGGGUGAGUAACACGUGGAUAACCUACCUAUAAGACUGGGAUAACUUCGGGAAACCGGAGCUAAUACCGGAUAACAUGUUGAACCGCAUGGUUCAACAGUGAAAGACGGUCUUGCUGUCACUUAUAGAUGGAUCCGCGCCGCAUUAGCUAGUUGGUAAGGUAACGGCUUACCAAGGCAACGAUGCGUAGCCGACCUGAGAGGGUGAUCGGCCACACUGGAACUGAGACACGGUCCAGACUCCUACGGGAGGCAGCAGUAGGGAAUCUUCCGCAAUGGGCGAAAGCCUGACGGAGCAACGCCGCGUGAGUGAAGAAGGUCUUCGGAUCGUAAAACUCUGUUAUUAGGGAAGAACAAAUGUGUAAGUAACUAUGCACGUCUUGACGGUACCUAAUCAGAAAGCCACGGCUAACUACGUG
RNAcentral lists this ribosomal RNA (497 nucleotides) under uncultured bacterium. RNAcentral describes it as "partial 16S ribosomal RNA". It matches the Rfam family "Bacterial small subunit ribosomal RNA", at positions 28 to 507 of the family's 1533-position model. The record is from RNAcentral.